Molecule: ribosomal RNA, 1081 nt
Filed under: Enterococcus faecium
Lineage: Bacteria; Bacillati; Bacillota; Bacilli; Lactobacillales; Enterococcaceae
Description: bacterial SSU rRNA
Rfam family: Bacterial small subunit ribosomal RNA
Source: RNAcentral
UAGCAGGGCGGGUGCUAUACAUGCAGUCGAACGCUUCUUUUUCCACCGGAGCUUGCUCCACCGGAAAAAGAGGAGUGGCGAACGGGUGAGUAACACGUGGGUAACCUGCCCAUCAGAAGGGGAUAACACUUGGAAACAGGUGCUAAUACCGUAUAACAAUCGAAACCGCAUGGUUUUGAUUUGAAAGGCGCUUUCGGGUGUCGCUGAUGGAUGGACCCGCGGUGCAUUAGCUAGUUGGUGAGGUAACGGCUCACCAAGGCCACGAUGCAUAGCCGACCUGAGAGGGUGAUCGGCCACAUUGGGACUGAGACACGGCCCAAACUCCUACGGGAGGCAGCAGUAGGGAAUCUUCGGCAAUGGACGAAAGUCUGACCGAGCAACGCCGCGUGAGUGAAGAAGGUUUUCGGAUCGUAAAACUCUGUUGUUAGAGAAGAACAAGGAUGAGAGUAACUGUUCAUCCCUUGACGGUAUCUAACCAGAAAGCCACGGCUAACUACGUGCCAGCAGCCGCGGUAAUACGUAGGUGGCAAGCGUUGUCCGGAUUUAUUGGGCGUAAAGCGAGCGCAGGCGGUUUCUUAAGUCUGAUGUGAAAGCCCCCGGCUCAACCGGGGAGGGUCAUUGGAAACUGGGAGACUUGAGUGCAGAAGAGGAGAGUGGAAUUCCAUGUGUAGCGGUGAAAUGCGUAGAUAUAUGGAGGAACACCAGUGGCGAAGGCGGCUCUCUGGUCUGUAACUGACGCUGAGGCUCGAAAGCGUGGGGAGCAAACAGGAUUAGAUACCCUGGUAGUCCACGCCGUAAACGAUGAGUGCUAAGUGUUGGAGGGUUUCCGCCCUUCAGUGCUGCAGCUAACGCAUUAAGCACUCCGCCUGGGGAGUACGACCGCAAGGUUGAAACUCAAAGGAAUUGACGGGGGCCCGCACAAGCGGUGGAGCAUGUGGUUUAAUUCGAAGCAACGCGAAGAACCUUACCAGGUCUUGACAUCCUUUGACCACUCUAGAGAUAGAGCUUCCCCUUCGGGGGCAAAGUGACAGGUGGUGCAUGGGUUGUCGUCAGCUCGUGUCGUGAGAAUGUUGGGUUAAGU